UGCAUGAAGCCGGAAUCGCUAGUAAUCGCGGAUCAGAAUGCCGCGGUGAAUACGUUCCCGGGUCUUGUACACACCGCCCGUCACACCAUGGGAGUCGGAAAUGCCCGAAGUCUGUGACCUAACCGUAAGGAAGGAGCAGCCGAAGGCAGGUCGGAUGACUGGGGUGAAGUCGUAACAAGGUAGC
This 184-nucleotide ribosomal RNA is filed under the name uncultured bacterium. Its description in RNAcentral is "partial 16S ribosomal RNA". It matches the Rfam family "Bacterial small subunit ribosomal RNA", at positions 1317 to 1500 of the family's 1533-position model. The record is from RNAcentral.